Molecule: ribosomal RNA, 253 nt
Filed under: uncultured bacterium
Lineage: Bacteria
Description: partial 16S ribosomal RNA
Rfam family: Bacterial small subunit ribosomal RNA
Source: RNAcentral
UACGGGGGGGGCAAGCGUUGUUCGGAAUUACUGGGCGUAAAGGGCUCGUAGGUGGCCAACUAAGUCAGACGUGAAAUCCCUCGGCUUAACCGGGGAACUGCAUCUGAUACUGGAUGGCUUGAGUUCGGGAGAGGGAUGCGGAAUUCCAGGUGUAGCGGUGAAAUGCGUAGAUAUCUGGAGGAACACCGGUGGCGAAGGCGGCAUCCUGGGCCGACACUGACGCUGAGGAGCGAAAGCCAGGGGAGCAAACGGG